AGGAUUUUUGAAACUCCCUUCCGGGUGUUGCAAGCGUUUUCAUAGAACGCCUACCAAGUCCGAACAUAAGCGUAUAAGACAAAUUGAUAGCUCUUUAUCAAAUCUGUGGGUGGUGGUGCAUGGCCGUUCUUAGUUCGUGGAGUGAUUUGUCUGGUUAAUUCCGAUAACGAACGAGACUCAAAUAUAUUAAAUAGAUGCUUUCAGGAUUAUGGUGUUGAAGCCAUUAUGGCCUUUAUUUAUGAGCACAGUGGAAUGUGAGUGUUUGAAUGUGUUUAUAAUAGUGAGGCCGUAUCUGCUGGUUUGUCCUUUUAUAGGACAAUAGCUUCUUAAAUAGACAAAUUGCGUCCAACAAUGAUGAGAUUGAACAAUAACAGGUCUGCAAUGCCUGGUCCUAGACCGAGAGAUCCGGGAUUGUGAAAUAAAACUGUUCGCAUGAACUACGACGUCCCAGUAAGUGUGAGUCAUUAAAGCGCAUGGAUUAC
Glossina fuscipes fuscipes is the source of this 482-nucleotide non-coding RNA. NCBI's taxonomy places the organism in Eukaryota, Metazoa, Arthropoda, Insecta, Diptera, Glossinidae. The record is from Rfam.